Molecule: microRNA, 21 nt
Filed under: Mus musculus (house mouse)
Lineage: Eukaryota; Metazoa; Chordata; Mammalia; Rodentia; Muridae
Description: mmu-miR-6931-3p
Source: miRBase by way of RNAcentral
CCCAACCUCUUCAUACCCCAG